GGAGAGAUGGCAGAGUGGUCGAAUGCACCGGUCUUGAAAACCGGCAGGGGUUUAUAGCCCCUCUAGGGUUCAGUUCAAAUCCCUAUCUCUCCACCA
This 96-nucleotide transfer RNA is filed under the name Pseudoalteromonas issachenkonii. RNAcentral describes it as "tRNA-Ser". It matches the Rfam family "tRNA". From Rfam's summary of the family: Transfer RNA (tRNA) molecules are approximately 80 nucleotides in length. Their secondary structure includes four short double-helical elements and three loops (D, anti-codon, and T loops). Lineage: Bacteria; Pseudomonadati; Pseudomonadota; Gammaproteobacteria; Alteromonadales; Pseudoalteromonadaceae. The record is from RNAcentral.